CUCCUCUCCUCUCCCUAAGCGCCCGUCCGUAAUAUUUCAGUUCUCUCUUGAGCCCAGCCCUAAUUUCACUGUGUCUCUCUCAUGCCCACCCUUCACUCUCUCUCUCUCUCGCAACGACAACAACACUGGCAUAGGCAAAUCUCCGGCAUCUAGGAGGCUGUAUUCUUUUGAUUGUGUUUUGGAGGCAGAUCUAAAGAUCUCAAAUCAUCAGCAAAGCUGGCGGCGACACUAGCUUGGAGGAGAGAAAUAGGGACGCUAAACAUCAUGAUUCAGAGCUGCCAACUCUGCGUUCACUUAAGCUGUGGUAUUUUCUUAAUAGGUUGAAACAGAUUCCAGUCAUCAAACUGAGAUUUCCAACUCUAAAGCAGGUAUGGAGCUUCUUGACAUCAUUCUAACCAAGGUAUAUAUAUCUACCGAUGAAUAUUUUGAAGCAGAGACAGCGAUGGUUGGCCAGGUAAAUAAUGCACUUGAUGUGAUGAAACUACAUGAUGGUUUUUCCCAUACCUAGGAUUGAAUGAUGUAUUUGUUUUGUUUGUUGAAAAGCCUUAUUUCACCAUAACUACUUUGUUUAUGAUGAUUGUGCCUGUUUUGUACGUAGUCACUUUCUUGCGUAUAUGCUAUUGAAGCAUUUGAUGAGGCAUCACUCUGUGACACAUGCUUAUUAUAUAUGGUCAAUAUUGCAGCUUAUGGAUGCAUAAGCUUUAAGUUAUAUUUUCGUGGAUUUUGUAUUGCAUUUAAUGGAACUUAAUUAUCAAUGAUAUUCCCUCUCACUUUUGUAUGGCAAUAGCUGCUGGACUUGUUUCUUGGCCAUGUGUCACGGGCCAACUCCUUUAGAGGCGCAGCGGAUCAAUUUUUCACCCGUGUGGCGCUCAAACUCCACCAAGUUUAAGCCUGCCAUAGCUUAUUGACAAAUCGAGUGUUGAUGGUCUCACCCGUUUGAACAUUAGGGCCCAAUGCUUUGUCAAGCAAAAUAACUUCACAAGGAAGCUCCGUCUUCAUCCGGAUGCCACAAGUAGGCCUAACGCCUCAAGUGCACCAAGCACGGCAUAAGUCGCUUCAUGGCACCAAGCUUACCUCAAGCAAGGUGCUCGUCUAACUUAGGUUUAUGUUACCAAGGUGCCUAGCCACGCAACAAUGUGUUAACGAAGGCCUUCGACUUAGCCAAUAAGCCAACAUUGCAUGUUGGGUCUUUAACAGCAUCUCGAAGUGUCGUAGGGUCAAGCAUGCCUCAAUAGAUGCAUAUUGGAUGGCCACUUGGUCAUGCGAAGCCCGCAAGCCACCGAGGGUCAAUCUCUUGCCCACGACGUAUUUUUCGUGCCUACACGUGUGUUAGAUUCCGCUUAAGGCCAUUGCGCACCUUAGCGUUGCACCAACGUGUAGCAUGAGUAAGGCAACAUCUCAAUCCAUAGCUUGCUUGUAGCAUAAUGUAGUCCCUCAAUGGACUUAGUCAAUGCAUAGCUUGAUGCCUUCAUUCAAUAGCCCACAUAUGCCGCGUCGCCUUCCAACCGCCACGAGAUCCCUUCGUGCAAGAUUGAACCCAAACCAAGCACUUGAGUUUGUACACGAGGCCUUUAGUGUUGCCUCGAUAGCUCAUUCAGUCCAAAACGAGUCCCAAAGAUGCCAUAUUGCGUGGCAUAAUGGAAACAACAUAGUGAACCUCUCCCUCGGGAGGCACACGCAGUGCCUACAUUAUUGCACCGUCCACAGGGCUCCCAAACCCACGUGGAGACUCUGGACACCCCUCUGGAUGCCUAAAGCCCGCCCUUGAGUUGCCCCAAGAUUGCUCACUUGAAGCCCAGUUUGGGCGGGGAGGAAGGUACGUAGCACACCUUGCCCCCUUAUAUAUGCUUGUUAAGCAAUUAGCCCUCUGGCAUGAGGAAACAUCAAUAUGUCCGAGGAGUCAUAAUGAUUUUUCAUAAAUUUCACAAGUUGAGAAAAAUCAUAAAACUUGGUCGGGAAAACACUUCCCCUAAGACCUCUUUCCAGUAAAAAUUUCAACUCGAAACUCCUUCAUUUGGAUGCCCAAACAACACACCAAAAAUUUGCACUAUUGGCUAGUGUUGCAAGCUGCUACUGUUGCUGGCCGUGUGCUUCUGCUGCUGCUGCUAGUGGCCCGUAUGCCUUGGGCUGCUUGGGGGCCAAUGUUAAGCCAUGUUGAGGCACUUCCAACGGCCACUCUUGGGCACUCAAAUGGCCACACCACCGCGAGCGAAACGUCACGGAGUUAGCCUUGCAAGGCAACUUGUGACACCAUGCCUCUUCCAAUGGGAUAGAGCCAGGAAUUUUUUUUUAAAGCCUAGCUGAGAUCAGUAUCCUACUUUGAUGUUAUUUCUAUGAUAAGCUUGUUUCUUAUACUUCUUUAUUCUCAUAAAAUAAUAUACUGUAGGGACUCUGUCAGCCCAUUUAACUGUUUCUUAUACUUCUUUAUUCUCAUAAAAUAAUGAGUUACCCUGUUGUUAUACCGCUUUUGAUAAUUAGUGCAUUGAGGAGUUCUGCAUUUUGGUUUUCUAAUGCUAUAUUUUUCACAAUGACAGCCAAUGAUUAUGUUAUAUUUUUCUAAUGCUAUACUUUGAGUUUGUAAAUAAAAUUGAGCAUUCCCACUGUCUUUCUUCUCACAUAUUGCAGGAUUCUCAUGUUGAUUGACAAAUGCCCAUCUAAGUUAUUUAUGGUCUUCUUCCACAGACAUUGGUAGUUAUGAUGCUGACCAAUCUCCAAUUCUUCUCAGUGCCAUCUUUAGUUUUUUGCUUUUUUCUAAUUUUUGCUUUGAUCACAUUAGAGGCUGUUUAUCUUAUUUACCAUCUUUGAAUUUAUUUUUUUUUUUGUAAAAUUUUGCUUUCUAUACUCAUUAUGGUCUGGGAAUUGAGAGCUUUCUACCAGCCGUUAACGCUGUUUUUCCUUUUCAAUUUUGUUACGGGAGUUAGUAUUCUAGGGAAUGUACAACACGUGUAUAUAUAUUAUAUUUCUAUGUUUAUAAUUUUUUUAAAAUAUUUUUUGUUCUUAUAAAAAUUCUAGGUUCUGAAAUGCAGGUGGAGUUGAAUGCUGUGUAGUGGUGAGUAAAUGAGAUUUAAUUGGAAGCAUAUCAUUUUCAUAGAUUGUUAGUUGCUGCCUUUCUGUUUAGUUCCUUGGCUCCAUUUAUCCAUCAAUGGUUCGGUUUUUAGUAGUGUUGGCUGUAGCUAUGGAUGAUUUUCAGAAUCCCUGCAUCCAGAUUCAAUCUUUUUGAGUACGUGAUGAUAUCUUCUCAUAUCGAUAUUGGAAUUUACUGUUGAUAUCAAAACAAGUUAUAAUAUAUAUGUUUUGUUUUAUUUGUAUUGUCGAUAUUUUUGUUUGUUUUAAAUACAAAAAUUUGAGUUCUUGAAUAU
Non-coding RNA from Camellia sinensis, 3359 nucleotides. NCBI's taxonomy places the organism in Eukaryota, Viridiplantae, Streptophyta, Magnoliopsida, Ericales, Theaceae. The record is from RefSeq and is a predicted model, not a curated record.